AGGCUCCCGGAGAGACUCUGAUCCCACCAGGAGCCUUCAGAGGCAGAAAGUUCCCUGUCAGCAGAACACUGUAGGCCACGUCGCAAACCUCAAGCUGGCCUUCUGUUCGCGUCCCAGGCAUUUGCAGCAGAAUCUGGUGCGGCUGCGUAGAACCUGGAGCCCCUUCACUUGGGAAUGAGCUGGAAGGGCAACAACUCAACUGAAACCACAUCACACAGCCGCUGCGGCACAGUGGGACCGCUGUCACGUUGCACCUUCAGGACCUCAGUCUUCCCGGUUUCCACACCUAGAGGACCAGAGAUGGCCUGCCAUCUAAGACCCACCCACGAAAGAACCGGAACAGAUAAGGAAGCAGAAUGAGAAGUGUUCCUGGACAGAAAAGCCCAGAAUGUACAGCUACCGAAGAGGAACCUGAAACUUAAUCCACAGAUUCCUAACAUAAAAAUAAAGGGAAACAGAUAGCAGCUUUAAAAAUCUCACUAGCCACACCGGGUGGUGUUUGCCGGCAAUAUUAGCAUUCUGGAGAUGGAAUCUGGAUGAUCAGGAGUUAAAAGUCAUCCCCAGAUACAUAAUGAGUUCCGGGAUAGCCUAGGCUACACGAGACUGUUCCAAAUAAUAAACCAAUAUAGCCUAGGCUACAUGAGAGUCUGUUUCAAAUGAUAAACAAGUCUCCCCCCAUUCCAGAAGGCUUAUCAGUCCCGUUCCCAGCACCAAUUCCUUGCCCUCCAUCAAAGCAUGGUCAGGCAGGGCCAGCAAGAUGGCUCGAUGGGUAUAGGUACUUAGACCUAAGUUAGAUCCCCGAAUCCAGGUAAAGGUGGAAGGAGACAGUGGGUUCCAUAAAAUUGUCCUCUGACCUUCAAAUGAUCCUUCAAUGGCAUAUACACACAUGUGUAUGUCUAUAUAUAUAUACACAUAUAUAUACACACAAUGAUAAAUAAAUAAUUUUAAAGAUGU
This 954-nucleotide long non-coding RNA is filed under the name Rattus norvegicus (Norway rat). RNAcentral's name for it is "long non-coding RNA NONRATT026355". Lineage: Eukaryota; Metazoa; Chordata; Mammalia; Rodentia; Muridae. The record is from RNAcentral.